AAUGAUCCGAUCAGUCUGCCAAGUUCCUGUAACUCAUCACUUUCUAUUCCCCGUGAAGUGGCAUUCCCCUACUCUGGCUGCCAAAAGCUAGUUUCUAUUUCACAGUCCCAAGGACAGUGUAAAAUCUCAUUUACUUAUUACCUGCUUCUUAGGCUAGCUGCUGCAAAACCUAUUUCUGAUUUGCACUUUGUUUCAACUAGUGUUCAGCUACUAAUAAAUUCUCUUUCUCUCUUACUCCUUUGCUCCUUCCUUUCCUCCCCCCUCUUUCCUUUCCUCCUCCCGCCCUCUUUGGGCAUAUUUCCAAGUGUGAGCAAAAAUGGGUCCCCAGCCACAUACAAUAAGCAGUGCACACUGUAUUUCAUUCUUCUUUUAGAGGAACUGAAACACAAGAUAUACAAUGGGUACUAUCUGGAGUCAAACUUGUUCGAAAAGACGGCCUAGGCACACCUGCUCUGAAGAUCUCACUAGUGUGGCUGAAGGAGCUGCCUUCCCUCCUACUCAUCAGUGCUCCUCUGAUGGACAUUACCAUCCAUGCACAUCUGAGAUACCUUAACUGGUGACACAGCUGCAGCGGGGCCUCACUUCCGUCAUGUUUUGGGCAGCAAGCAUGCACACCUAAUCAGCACAGGCAACGUGGGCCCACUAGACAGAGCUAAGAAAAAUGUGGGAGCGCCUUUACACAGUCCAGAUGUUGGGCUGGAAGAAUAAGCUCCUGAAGCUCUUAUGUUAAGCCCAGGCGAGAUUAGGUGGGUAAAUCCCAACCUUGAUCUGUUUCAGUGCAAAACCAGAUGAACUUAAACAUUUUGAAAAGUUAAUUAAAAGCCAUGAAAGGUCUUCUGCAUUUGAAUCUUAACAAGUUGAGAGAUAUGACCGUGCUCUUUAGAUAAAUGUGGAGGGGCCAAUACAAAACACUUUUUAGAAAUCCUGAAUCAAGCCUUUGAUCAGACAGGACAAACCUCACAGACCAGUCCUAAUUCACCUCUCUUUCCAUGUAUUACCUUCCAUUUUCAAGAAUGCUAUCUAAUGCUCAGCAUAGAAGAAGAAUGGGAGACACAUGCUGUGGCAAAUUAGAAUAAAGUUUAUGACCAAUAAAAUUCA
RNAcentral lists this long non-coding RNA (1098 nucleotides) under Struthio camelus australis. RNAcentral describes it as "lncRNA (ENSSCUG00000017802.1)". Lineage: Eukaryota; Metazoa; Chordata; Aves; Struthioniformes; Struthionidae. The record is from RNAcentral.